CCAGCUGACAGAAACCACUCCUUCUGCCACACGUCCACAUCCUGCUGUUCAGGAUAUGUUGUAUGUUCGUGCUGGGAGCUCAGCUGUGCUUUAGACCUGUGUGUUUAAUUCUAUAUCAUAGCAUCGCUAAAAUGAUCUUCUCAGUAGUUAUUUUCAUACUUAUUUCUGUUGCGGCAUCAGAAGGUCCUAUAACAAUCCCAACCACUGUUAUGCCAGCUAUAGAGACACAGCAGCCUAACAGUUCAACAGUCCAGUCCACAAACCCUCGAGAUACUUCUGAGUCACAGACCACAACACAACUAAUCAUAGCUCAACAAACAACACAAAUGGAUCUCAAAAACAUCACUCAGUCAACCACUUCACAAUCUACCUGGCCCAAGACAUCUAAACUGACAACGUCUGAACUGAAAAUCACCACCGUCUACUCUAGUGAAAUGACAUUUUCAGCAGAACCAAACAGCACAUCCAUUAACACAGCUCUGGGAGACAGAGAAGAACAAGAUUUGGCAGCAAAUCCAGGGCUGGUUGCAGUGCUGUGUAUUUUCUGCAUUGUGGUGGCUGUAGUUGUUGUGGUUGUGAUAGUGAAGGCUGUUCGCUCCAGGAGACCUCAGUUUGAGAGGCUUGAUGAUGUACCUAUGGGCAAGGUAAAUGAGGAAGCACCGUUUGCCCGCUACCCUCCAAAAUAAAGGCCAGUUUCUUAUACUUGCUGUCUCAGUGAACGACGUAGCUAUGCCUCUGAUAUUUCGCUUUUUGGUUUUGAAAUGAAAUGUGCCUUUUUAACCUACAGACUUAAUGUGCAAUACAUAGUGUAUUAGUUGUGAAAUAUGAUAAUGUGCUUUUUUCCCCCUUAAAAUACCACAGCUAAUGACAAACUUGUAGUCAAAUGAAGAAAUCUAACUUCUUAUGUCCUAUAUUUUUGUAUUGUUUAUGCCAUAUUCUUCUCUUGUAAGCCCGUUUUGAUUAAACCUAUCUUUUGAAAAAAUCUGCUUAAUUAAUACAUAUAAUUGGAAUGUAAAUGUACAUAAUGACGACUGCACUGUCAAUAUUUGUGAGAGACUAUGUCGGGAGUGUGACAUUUUCAGCCUGUCCUCCAGAUGGCGCCAAAAUUGUUCACAAGCAGUUGUACUGUAUGUAUCUUUAACAUUAUUUGAGAACUGAGAGUUGUUUUUGCUCAAAAUAACAAAUAUCUUUGGCCUUGGACCACCUCAAAUGAACUUAAUACAAUUCGACAAAUGUAUUGUAAAUAAAUAAAAAAUUUUGCAUUAAAGCA
Long non-coding RNA from Cyprinus carpio (common carp), 1270 nucleotides. The record is from Ensembl. NCBI's taxonomy places the organism in Eukaryota, Metazoa, Chordata, Actinopteri, Cypriniformes, Cyprinidae.